AGGAAUAUUGGUCAAUGGGCGAGAGCCUGAACCAGCCAAGUAGCGUGCAGGAUGACGGCCCUAUGGGUUGUAAACUGCUUUUAUAAGGGAAUAAAGUUAGUCUCGUGAGACUUUUUGCAUGUACCUUAUGAAUAAGGACCGGCUAAUUCCGUGCCAGCAGCCGCGGUAAUACGGAAGGUCCGGGCGUUAUCCGGAUUUAUUGGGUUUAAAGGGAGCGUAGGCCGGAGAUUAAGCGUGUUGUGAAAUGUAGACGCUCAACGUCUGCACUGCAGCGCGAACUGGUUUCCUUGAGUACGCACAAAGUGGGCGGAAUUCGUGGUGUAGCGGUGAAAUGCUUAGAUAUCACGAAGAACUCCGAUUGCGAAGGCAGCUCACUGGAGCGCAACUGACGCUGAAGCUCGAAAGUGCGGGUAUCGAACAGGAUUAGAUACCCUGGUAGUCCGCACGGUAAACGAUGGAUGCCCGCUGUUGGUCUGAACAGGUCAGCGGCCAAGCGAAAGCAUUAAGCAUCCCACCUGGGGAGUACGCCGGCAACGGUGAAACUCAAAGGAAUUGACGGGGGCCCGCACAAGCGGAGGAACAUGUGGUUUAAUUCGAUGAUACGCGAGGAACCUUACCCGGGCUUGAAUUGCAGAGGAAGGAUUUGGAGACAAUGACGCCCUUCGGGGCCUCUGUGAAGGUGCUGCAUGGUUGUCGUCAGCUCGUGCCGUGAGGUGUCGGCUUAAGUGCCAUAACGAGCGCAACCCCUCUCCUUAGUUGCCAUCAGGUUAAGCUGGGCACUCUGGGGACACUGCCACCGUAAGGUGUGAGGAAGGUGGGGAUGACGUCAAAUCAGCACGGCCCUUACGCCCGGGGCUACACACGUGUUACAAUGGCAGGUACAGAGAGACGGUCCCUUGCAAAAUGGAUCAAAUCCUUAAAGCCUGUCUCAGUUCGGACUGGGGUCUGCAACCCGACCCCACGAAGCUGGAUUCGCUAGUAAUCGCGCAUCAGCCAUGGCGCGGUGAAUACGUUCCCG
This 1018-nucleotide ribosomal RNA is filed under the name uncultured bacterium. Its description in RNAcentral is "bacterial SSU rRNA". It matches the Rfam family "Bacterial small subunit ribosomal RNA", at positions 357 to 1376 of the family's 1533-position model. The record is from RNAcentral.